RNAcentral lists this ribosomal RNA (460 nucleotides) under uncultured bacterium. RNAcentral's name for it is "bacterial SSU rRNA". It matches the Rfam family "Bacterial small subunit ribosomal RNA", at positions 343 to 794 of the family's 1533-position model. The record is from RNAcentral.
UGGAGGCAGCAGUGGGGAAUAUUGCGCAAUGGGCGAAAGCCUGACGCAGCGACGCCGCGUGGGUGACGAAGGCCUUCGGGUCGUAAAACCCUGUCGGGUGGAACGAAUCUCCGCCCUUUAAAUAGGGGGGCGGAUUGACGGUACCACCGAAGGAAGACCCGGCUAACUACGUGCCAGCAGCCGCGGUAAUACGUAGGGGGCGAGCGUUGUUCGGAUUUACUGGGCGUAAAGAGCGCGUAGGCGGUUCGAUAAGUCGGAGGUGAAAUCCCUCGGCUCAACCGAGGAUCCGCGUCCGAUACUGUCGAACUUGAGUGCAGGAGAGGAGAGCGGAAUUCCGAGUGUAGCGGUGAAAUGCGUAGAUAUUCGGAGGAACACCGGUGGCGAAGGCGGCUCUCUGGACUGCCACUGACGCUGAGGCGCGAAAGCUAGGGGAGCAAACGGGAUUAGAUACCCCGGUAGG